UUGACCUCGGAUCAGGUAGGGAUACCCGCUGAACUUAAGCAUAUCAAUAAGCGGAGGAAAAGAAACCAACAGGGAUUGCCCCAGUAACGGCGAGUGAAGCGGCAACAGCUCAAAUUUGAAAUCUGGCCCCCCCCGCGGGGCCCGAGUUGUAAUUUGCAGAGGAUGCUUUUGGCGCGGCGCCUUCCGAGUUCCCUGGAACGGGACGCCAUAGAGGGUGAGAGCCCCGUCUGGUCGGACGCCCAGCCUCUGUAAAGCUCCUUCGACGAGUCGAGUAGUUUGGGAAUGCUGCUCUAAAUGGGAAGUAAUAUGUCUUCUAAAGCUAAAUAUUGGCCAGAGACCGAUAGCGCACAAGUAGAGUGAUCGAAAGAUGAAAAGCACUUUGAAAAGAGGGUUAAACAGUACGUGAAAUUGUUGAAAGGGAAGCGCUUGUGACCAGACUUGGGCGCGGCGAAUCAUCCGGCGUUCUCGCCGGUGCGCUUCGACGCGCCCGGGCCAGCAUCAGUUCGCGGCGGGGGAUAAAGGCGCCGGGAACGUGGCUCCCCCGGGAGUGUUAUAGCCCGGCGCGCAAUGCCCCGCGGCGGACUGAGGUUCGCGCAUCCGCAAGGAUGCUGGCGUAAUGGUCACCAGUGACCCGUCUUGAAACACGGACCAAGGAGUCGUCCUCGUAUGCGAGUGUUCGGGUGUCAAACCCCUACGCGCAAUGAAAGUGAACGCAGGUGAGAGCCUCACGGCGCAUCAUCGACCGAUCCUGAUGUUCUCGGAUGGAUUUGAGUAAGAGCAUACGGGGCCGGACCCGAAAGAAGGUGAACUAUGCCUGUGUAGGGUGAAGCCAGAGGAAACUCUGGUGGAGGCUCGCAGCGGUUCUGACGUGCAAAUCGAUCGUCAAACAUGGGCAUGGGGGCGAAAGACUAAUCGAAC
RNAcentral lists this ribosomal RNA (918 nucleotides) under Ophiocordyceps robertsii. Its description in RNAcentral is "eukaryotic LSU rRNA". It matches the Rfam family "Eukaryotic large subunit ribosomal RNA", at positions 1 to 940 of the family's 3401-position model. Lineage: Eukaryota; Fungi; Ascomycota; Sordariomycetes; Hypocreales; Ophiocordycipitaceae. The record is from RNAcentral.